Molecule: long non-coding RNA, 332 nt
Organism: Macrobrachium nipponense
Lineage: Eukaryota; Metazoa; Arthropoda; Malacostraca; Decapoda; Palaemonidae
Exons: 2
Source: RefSeq, a predicted model, not a curated record
AAAUUCUGUGGGUCAGGGAACUGUCGCUGUUGCGUGGAUCCUCACGGGCACGGUAAUGGGAACGCUAUUGGGAACGGGAAUGGAAUCGGGAAUGGGAACGGGAAUUGUCGGUAAUGGAGAGGAUUCAAACGAAAGUGACCAAAACCUUGCAAACAGAUGAGUGAGAACUGGCGUUGUCCCCUGCUAGACUGAGAACCAUUAGUUAUGAUUACUAAUUUGACUGAAAACAUUCUUUUCAUCCUAAUUAUAAAUUGGAGAAUCUUAAAUUGAAAACUUUUGUCAUUUUUAAAUAUGUUUUAUGAUUAUUCUGCAAAUAAAUUUAGCAUGCAAAA